ACGGGAGGCAGCAGUGGGGAAUAUUGCACAAUGGGGGAAACCCUGAUGCGGCGACGCCGCGUGAAGGAAGAAGUAUCUCGGUAUGUAAACUUCUAUCAGCAGGGAUGAUAAUGACGGUACCUGACUAAGAAGCCCCGGCUAACUACGUGCCAGCAGCCGCGGUAAUACGUAGGGGGCAAGCGUUAUCCGGAUUUACUGGGUGUAAAGGGUGCGUAGACGGUUUGGCAAGUCAGAAGUGAAAUCCCGGGGCUUAACUCCGGUGCUGCUUUUGAAACUGUCAGACUAGAGUGCUGGAGGGGCAAGCGGAAUUCCUGGUGUAGCGGUGAAAUGCGUAGAUAUCAGGAGGAACACCGGUGGCGAAGGCGGCUUGCUGGACAGUAACUGACGUUGAGGCACGAAAGCGUGGGGAGCAAACAGGAUUAGAUACCCUGGUA
This 434-nucleotide ribosomal RNA is filed under the name uncultured Blautia sp. RNAcentral describes it as "partial 16S ribosomal RNA". It matches the Rfam family "Bacterial small subunit ribosomal RNA", at positions 341 to 792 of the family's 1533-position model. Lineage: Bacteria; Bacillati; Bacillota; Clostridia; Lachnospirales; Lachnospiraceae. The record is from RNAcentral.